GCGGGCGUAGCUCAAUGGUAGAGCCCCAGCCUUCCAAGCUGGUCACGUGGGUUCGAUUCCCAUCGCCCGCUCCA
RNAcentral lists this transfer RNA (74 nucleotides) under bacterium. RNAcentral's name for it is "tRNA-Gly". It matches the Rfam family "tRNA". Rfam says of the family: Transfer RNA (tRNA) molecules are approximately 80 nucleotides in length. RNAcentral also lists the same sequence under 4 other names. The record is from RNAcentral.